Molecule: ribosomal RNA, 253 nt
Filed under: uncultured bacterium
Lineage: Bacteria
Description: partial 16S ribosomal RNA
Rfam family: Bacterial small subunit ribosomal RNA
Source: RNAcentral
GACGUAGGGGGCUAGCGUUGCUCGGAAUGACUGGGCGUAAAGGGCGCGUAGGCGGCUCAUACAGUCAGAUGUGAAAUUCCUGGGCUUAACCUGGGGGCUGCAUUUGAUACGUGUGGGCUUGAGUGGGGAAGAGGGUCGUGGAAUUCCCAGUGUAGAGGUGAAAUUCGUAGAUAUUGGGAAGAACACCGGUGGCGAAGGCGGCGACCUGGUCCUUGACUGACGCUGAGGCGCGAAAGCGUGGGGAGCAAACAGG